Molecule: long non-coding RNA, 803 nt
Organism: Saccoglossus kowalevskii
Lineage: Eukaryota; Metazoa; Hemichordata; Enteropneusta; Harrimaniidae
Source: RefSeq, a predicted model, not a curated record
CGAGCAUUCUUGUAACAGACACGGAGAGCGAAACAUCGUAAUACUACUCACCUAGACGUUCAGUGUCUUGUCACAUCUCUCAAAGCUAAUCAUGUAUUCCAGACAAGUUGUUAUCGCAUUGCUUGUAACAGUGGUGAUCUGCAUCCAGUCAACCAACGCAGUGAACAUCUGCAAAACAAAGGCUGGACUGCGCAUGAAAAGUUGUCGCGGAAGACCAGGGAAGCGCACUGACAAAACGACCGUGUCGAACGCCGUCUUUGCUUUACUGCGAGCAGCCACUGAGAUCAUUGAAGAUAUGUCAGCUGAUGAGAUCAACUCUCUCUUAGAGGAUAUGUCAGAUUCCAGUGACGAGGACGAUAAACUCGCAUAUGAUGUUGACGAAGAACCGAACAUCUAAAUGUGAAAUAAUUUCUUCAUUGUCCUAAAUUAAAGGAUUUACAUUUACUGUUAUCUGGAUUUAAUUUACAUUCUCGAUGGACCAUGUCACAUGACUACUGGAGAGUGAUGUCGUCUGGAAAUUAUCCCAACGCAGACACGUCAAACGAUGGUUGGAUAAGAUUCGUAGUAGAUUUACAUAAUGGCCACAACACUUAGUAUCAAGUCUGUUCUGAGAUGAAGUUAUUUAGUGCGUAGUUAACUUCCGGGGUGAUCUUCCCAUACAUGCUAAAUUGUCAUCAAUUGUAUCCAUGACGACCAUGUGAUGUGAUCCAGUUACUAUUUUGUGUAAUCUGGAUCUUAAUGUACUUUUUCAACCUGUAUAUUUCUGUGUGUCUGUAGAAAUAAAAGUCAUAUUUUAAAAAUUU